UACGAAGGGGGCUAGCGUUGCUCGGAAUCACUGGGCGUAAAGGGUGCGUAGGCGGCGCCAUAAGUCAUCUGUGAAAUCUCCGGGCUUAACUCGGAGCCUGCAGGCGAAACUGUGGAGCUGGAGUGUGGGAGAGGUGCGUGGAAUUCCCAGUGUAGCGGUGAAAUGCGUAGAUAUCGGGAGGAACACCGGUGGCGAAAGCGGCGCACUGGACCAUAACUGACGCUGAGGCGCGAAAGCUAGGGGAGCAAACAGG
Molecule: ribosomal RNA, 253 nt
Filed under: uncultured bacterium
Lineage: Bacteria
Description: partial 16S ribosomal RNA
Rfam family: Bacterial small subunit ribosomal RNA
Source: RNAcentral